ACACCAAAAAUGAAAAAUGAGUGCCGAGCGGACUCUUGGUGCUCUUUUACUAAGAAGGAGCCCCCUCUUCUUAAAAGAUGACACUUAAUUUGUGACUAAAAGGAAACCCUGAAUAGCACAUCUGAAAAUAGGAU
Non-coding RNA from Caenorhabditis elegans, 134 nucleotides. The record is from Ensembl. Lineage: Eukaryota; Metazoa; Nematoda; Chromadorea; Rhabditida; Rhabditidae.